Nomascus leucogenys (northern white-cheeked gibbon) is the source of this 7337-nucleotide RNA transcript. It is a transcript of the gene named cleavage and polyadenylation specificity factor subunit 1 pseudogene, with no coding region annotated. The record is from RefSeq and is a predicted model, not a curated record. The transcript has 4 exons. NCBI's taxonomy places the organism in Eukaryota, Metazoa, Chordata, Mammalia, Primates, Hylobatidae.
AUGGGGCGUUCUCUGAGUGCAAAGACAGGGUCUUUAAAGAGAUUUGACGAGGUGGAGGGGGGAUUUGAGAGAAAUGAGGACAGACAAGGAGGGGAGAAGGACAGAGGAAGAGUGGUCACGGCUGAACAAUUUCAAGAAGUGAGUCGAUGUCUCAUUGCCCUAUCUUAUCUUGAAAAACCCAUGUACCUAAGUCGUGGAUGUGUCUGCUGCAUCCGCUGCAUCAGUUCACUUCUGAAGGAACCCAAUGAGGAAGGUGUAAUGUGUUCCUUUCGCUCUGUGGCUACUCAGAAGAAUGACAUCAGGCCCGAUUUCCAGCUGGGAAAGAUGGAUUCUAAAAUCAAGGAACUGGAGCCCCAGCUGACAAUUCUAUAUCAGAACCCAAAGACGCUGAAGUUCCAAGGUAAGAAAUCUGACUGGGCUGGCCUGUCCCAUAGAAGCUACAUCAGCAAUGUGCAGGCCCUAGAUGAGAAGCUGCUCAACAUCAUCAACCUGCAGUUCCUGCAUGGCUACUACAAGCCCAUCCUGUUCGAGCCCCACCAGACCUGGCCUGGGCAUGUGGCUGUGUGGCAGGACACGUGCUCCAUCGUGGCCAUCUUGCUAACAUCACGCAGAAGGUGCACCCCGUCAUCUGAUCUCUCACCAGCUACCCUUUGGCUGCACCCAGGCUCUGGCCAUGCCCAAGCCCAUGGGUGGGGUGGUGGUCUUUGUCGUCAGCUCGCUGUUAUACCUGAACCAGAGCAUUCCCCCGUACGGUUUGGCUCUCAGCAGCCUACCACAGGCACCACAGCUUUCCUGCUGUGCACCCAGGUGGGUGUGUGAAUCACCCUGGACUGUGCCCAGGCCACCUUCAUCUCCUAUGACAAGAUGGUCAUCUCCCUCAAGGGUGGCGGGAUUUACGUGCUGACCCUCAUCACUGAUGGCAUGCAUAGCGUCCAAGUGUUCCACUUUUGACAAGGCAGCCACCAGCGUCUUCACCACCAGCAUGGUCACCAUGGAGCCUGGGUACCUGUUCCUGAGUUCUUGCCUGGGCAACUCUCUCCUCCUCAAGUACACAGAGAAGCUUCAGGAGCCCCUGGCCAGUGCUGUCUGUGAGGCUGCUGACAAGGAAGAGCCUCCCUCACAGAAGAAGCGAGUGGACACAUGGCCAGCUGGUCAGCCAGGGACAAGUCCGUGUCACAGGACGACAUGGACGAGAUUGAAGUGUACGGCAGCGACGCCCAGUCGGGCACACAGCUGGCCACCUACCUUUGAGGUGUGUGACAGCAUCCUUAACAUUGGACCCUGCACCAAUGCUGCCAUGGGUGAGCCUGCCUUCCUCUCUGAAGAGUUUCAGAACAACCCUGAGCCGGACCUGGAGAUUGUGGACUGCUCCGGCCAUGGGAAGAAUGGGGCUCUGUCAGUGCUGCAGAAGAGCAUCCAGUCCCAGGUGGUGACAACCUUUGAGCUUCCCGGCUGCUAUGAUAUGUGGACAGUCAUUGCCCUGGUGCCUAACGAGGAGAAAGAGAAUCCCACGGGGGAGGGCACAGAGCAGGAACCCAGCACCCCCGAAGUGGACAGUGACCACUACAGACGGUGAUUCCUGAUUCUGAGCCAGGAAGACUUAUUCCUGCAGAUGGGGCAGGAGAUCAUGGAGCUGGACACCAGUGGCUUUGCCACGCAAGGCCCCACGGUCUUCAGCAAAAACAUCGGGGACAACCACUACAUUGUCCAAGUGUCGCUGCUGGGCAUCCACCUGCUGGAAGGAGUGAAUCAGCUGUACUUCAUCCCUGUGGACCUGGUCACCCGCAAUAUGCAGUGCACUGUAGGCAACCCCUAUGUGGUCAUCAUGAGCGCCGAUGGCCACGUCACCAUGUUCCUGCUGAAGAGCACACUCCUACAGUGGCUACCAGCGCCACCUGGCGCUGCACAACCCUCCCCUGCACCAUCAGCCCAAGGUGAUCGAUCACACUGUGCCUGUACCGAGACCUCAGUGGCAUGUUCACCACUGAGAGCUGCCUGAGCAGGGCUCACGAUGAGCUAGGGGGCUGCAGUGGCUUGGGGGCUGAGAGCCUGGGCUCAGAGACUAGCCCCACAGUGGGUGAUGAGGAGAUGCUGUGUGGGGAUUUGGGCUCCCUCUUCAGUCCCAGCAAGGAGGAGGCCCGAAGAAGCAGCCAGCCCCUGCUGACUGGGACUCUGUACCCUUCCAGACAGAGCCCAUCCACCGGUGCCUGCUGUUGCAGGAGAACGGCACCAUGGCGACCUGCCAGCUCCCCGACUGGCGGCUGGUGUUCUUGAUGAAGAACUUCCCUGUGGGGCAGCGGGUCCUUGUGGACAGCUCCUUUGGAGAGCCCACCACACAGGGCGAGGCCCGCAGGGAGGAGGCCAUGUGCCAGGAGGAGCUGCCUCUUUCGUCAAGGAGGUGCUGCUGGUUGUGCUGGGCAGCCGCCAGAGCACGCCUUACCUGCUGGUGCAUGUGGACCAAAAGCUGCUUAUCUACAAGGCCUUCCCCCAUGACUCAGCUCGGCCAGGGCAAUCUCAAAGUCCACUUUAAGAAGGUCCUUCACAGCACCAGCUUCUGUGAGAAGAAGCCGAAGCCAUUCAAGAAGAAAGAAGGUGGCUGCACAGAGGAGAGGGCCGGGCCUGGGGCCGUGUGGAGUGCUUCCACUACUUCGAGGACAUUUUUGGCUACUCAGGAGUGUCAUCUGCGGCCCCUCACCUCACUGGCUGCUGGCGACCGACCGAGGGGUGCUGCGGCUGCACCCCGUGGGCAUCAAUGGCCCUGUCGACUCUUUCACUCUAUUCCACAAUGUCAACUGUUCCGCGGCUUCCUGUACUUCAACAGACAGGGCAAGCUGAGGAUCAGCGUCCUUCCUGCCUACCUGUCCUAUGAUUCCCCAUGGCCUGUCAGGAAGAUCCCGCUGUGCUGCACGGUCCACUGUGUGCCUUACCACGUGGAGUCCAAGAUAUAUGCUGUGGCCACCAGCACCAACGCACUGUGCACGUGCAUCACACACAUGACUGGCGAGGAGAAGGCAUUUGAGACCAUCGAGAGAGAUGAGCGGUGCAUCCACCCCCAGGAGGCGGCCUUCUCCAUUCAGUUCGUCUCCCUAGUCUGCUGGGAGGCUAUUCCCAAUGCCAGGAUUGAGCUGCAGAAGUGGGAGCAUGUGACCAGCACGAACACAGUGUCGCUGCAGCGAGGAGACCAGGUCGGGCCUCAAAGGCUACGUGGCCGCCGGGACCUGCCUCAUGCAGGAGGAGGAGGAGGAGGUCACGUGCUGAGGGCGGAUCUUGAUCAUGGAUGUGAUUGAGGUGGUGCCCGAGCCCGGCCAGCCCUUGACCAAGAACAAGUUCAAAGUCCUUUACGAGAAGGAGCAGAAGGGGCCUGUGACUGCCCUGUGCACUGCAAGGCCACGUGGUGUUGGCCAUCAGCCAGAAGAUUUUCCUGUGGAGCCUGCGGGCCAGCGAGCUGAUGGGCAUGGCCUUCAUCGAUAGGCAGCUCUACAUCCACCAGAUGACCAGCAUCAAGAACUUCAUCCUGGCAGCUGACCUCAUGAAGAGCAUCUGGCUGCUGUUCCCAGGAGGAGAGCAAGACGCUGAGCCUCCUGCCAAGACGCUGGAGGUGUACAGCAUGGACUUCAUGGUGGACAACACCCAGCUGGGUUUUCUGGUGUUUGACCACAACCGCAGCCUCAUGGUGUACAUGCACCUGCCUGAAGCCAAGGAGAGUUUUGGGGGCAUGUGCCUGCUGCGGUGGGCGGACUUCCAUGUGGGUGCCCACGUGAACACAUUCUAAAGGACCCUGUGUCGGAGAGCCACCGAGGGGCUCAGCAAAAAGUCAGUCGUGGGAGAAUAAGCACAUCACGUGGUUCGCCACCCUGGAUGGUGGCAUCAGGCUGCUGCUGCCCAUGCAGGAGAAAACCUGCUGGAGGCUGCUGAUGCUGCUGAACGUGCUGACCACUAUGCUGCCGCACCAUGCAGGCCUCAACCUCCGCACCUUCCGGAUGCUGCAUGUGGACCUCCGUACCCUCCAGAAUGCUGUGCUGCAAGCUGGACAGGGAGCUGCUCAGCCGCUACGUGUACCUGAGCACCAUGGAGCAGCAAGCUGGCCAAGAAGAUCGGCACCAUGUCUGACAUCAUCCUGGAUGACUUGCUGGAGACAGAUGGCGUCACCGCUCACUUCUAGCUCCAUGGAUGCCGCUGCCACCACUGCACUGCACUGCACUACUUCCCACCCCCAUUUUAGUACAAAACACAAGGAAUAUACACUUUCUGGAAGACCAUCUGAUACUAUGUAUCAAGAAUCUCAAAAAUAUUCACAUACUAUAAUGCAAUAAUGCCAUUUCUGAAAACUGACCCUGAGAAGAUAAUACAGACAUGUGCUACAAUUUCCAUUACAGAGACAUCUGUUGUAAUGUUGUUUACAGAAGGGGGAAACAGAAAACAGCCUCCAUGUCCACAGAGGAAUGAUUAAAUAUGUGGUACACCUACAGGCUGGAGUGUAAAAUGGACAUAAAAACAAAGAAGAAAUGCUCAUGAGGAAACGCAGUGAUAGAAGCCUUUUCUCAAUAGUUUCUGCUUUGUUUGGGUGCAAGCCACCUUCAUCCUUGCCUCUGCAGUCUGUUCUCAGCACUGCAGUCAGAAGAAGCCUUUACACGGUAAGCCAGAUUAUGCUGCUCCUCUGCUCAAACCUUGCCGAGGCUCCUCCUUUUCACCUGAAAUGCAAGCCAGCGUCCUUCCCGGAUUCUGCAAAGCCCCAGAUAAUUUGACUGGCUCCCUGCACCUUCCCUAAUAUCCCCUCCUAUUGCUCCUUCUGCAUUCCACACCCCCUUCACUUUCUCCUGUUCACUGGGCUCCAGGCACACUGCCGUCCUUCCCAUUCCUCCCACCUGCUAGGCACACACCUGCCCCAGGGCCUUUGCACUUGCAGUUCCUUCUGCUCAGAUGCUCUUGCCUCAGAUAUUUGCUGGGCUCACACCCUCACCUCCUUUACCUCUGUGCUUACCUUCUCCAUGCAACCCCUCUCAACCAACUUAUUUAAUUCAAACUCCUCACCUGUCCCUGCUCCAUAAUGCAAUAGCUACAGACGUGACACAUUUUAAAGUUGAAUUUGCAUCAUUAACAUUUUCUCCAUCACUUGCUUAAGUCUAGACAAUCAACAAAACAAUCAGUCAGGCCCUGAUGUGCAUUGUUUGCCAAUUCCCAUGGUAUAUAUAGUUCCACCAAGGCCAAUUUUAAACUACCUAUAUGACGCCCCUGAACACAGUCUUGGAGAGAGAUGCACAGAAGCACACCAUUAUGUAGUAUUUUGUAAUAAAUGUAAGUCACCCCAGGAGCAUCAAUAAUAGUAAAAUGAGGUAAGAUAAUUAGGACAUGAUUACUCUGAGUAUGCAUUACCUUUGUUUUUAAUAAAAUGUACUUAAUUGGAAGUUCGUGUAAUUGAAUUUUUUUUAUUGGCCGCAUUUAACAGCUGACUCACAAAAUACCUAAAAAUUAACAGUAGACUUUCACCACCCAGUAUAUGCUGGCUCCAGCACACCCCUGAGAAUGGUUGAUUAAUAUGGAAUGGCCAUGCUGUGGAAUUUUAUGCAACUAUUUAAAAGGACAAAUUGGAGCUCUAUAGCAGACUUGGAGGAAUUUUUACAAAGAAUUGUCAAAUAAGAAAGCAAAAUAUAGAAACACAGAGUCAUUUUUAUAACACAGUGAUCUCCCCCUCAAUAAAACCCUCUCUAUAUGUGUCUGUACACAUUAAUAAAUAAUUGCAUAAGUAUCCAGAAUCAACUUGAUUUGGGGGCAUAGGAUGUGAUGUGUGGGAGGGAGAAAAGGAAGCCAAGCAAAAUAGGAAAACAGAACCAAAAAGACUGCCAGGAAAGCAAACUAUACAGAUGGUAACACAUUUUGGCAUUUAAGCAUAAUAUGUGUAUGUAUUUGUUCAUAUCAUUAAAAUACAUUUUUAAACCAAGUCCUCAUUUGGACAGUUGUUCAGGUUAUCUAUUGCCGUAUAACAAAUCACCCUAAAACUUAGCAGUUCGAAUUGCCAACAACCAUUUAUUAUGACAAGCCUGUGGGUUGCACAUGUGGUGUUUCUGCUUCACAUGGUGUUGGGAUACUGGGAUGGCUGCAGGGUUCAACAUGACCUCCCUCACAUGGCUGGGGGUUGAUGCUGGCUUCAAGCUGGGAGCUCAGCUGGGCCUAUCAGGAGGGGACCUGAACUCUCCUCUAUGUUGACCUCUCCACGUGGCUACUUGGGCUUCCUCACAGCGUGGUGACUGAGUUCUAAGAAGAAGCACUCCAAGAGGCAAAGGCUGGAGCUGCGUCAUUUCCACCAUAUUCUAUUGAUCACAGUGAUGACAGGGUCAGCUCAGAUUCACAGGGAGGAGAUACAACAUUUACCUUUCGAUGGACGUGGCAAGAUAAUAUCACAACAGUGCAUGUGGUAAGGGAAAUAUGUGGUAAUUGUCUUUGGAAACACAAAAGACCACAAUGAUCCAAGCCCUUGAUCAUGUGGCCAUGAAGUCUUCACUUCCCUGGGGUGGGGACCCAGUGAAACCCUCAGUGACAACCCCCAGGAGGGUUUUCUUCCAGGUUGACUGAGCUGUCUAUGGGUAACAUUAUGUUAUAUUUGUGUAUUGGUUGCAACUAUCAAUUGGCUGCAGAUACAAGACUUUGGCAAAAAUCAAAAAAGCAUUCUGUGAGAAUCAGUUGAAUGUAUACAUUUUAUAAAACAGUGUCAUAUUUUAUUAUUAUUUGUAAACUUUGUGCCACAAAUCUUUUAGUGUUAAUAAAUUUUAUAAUAAAAGUAGAUGUGUGUGUGUGUAUAUAUGAUAUAUAUGUGUAUAUAUGAUAUAUGUGUGUAUAUGCAUUUUUCCCCUGUAGCACACCUCUAAGUCUUUGUCUGUUAAUAAGCAUCAUUUUGUUUCUGUUCUACCAUGGAAUUCCAUUUUACUCAUGCUGGGUUCAAAGGGUAUGUGCAUUUUUAAUUUUAAUAGAUACUUUCAGAUUGCUUUCAACAGCAGUUAUAAUUCUCAUUUCUAGCAGCAGUGUAUAAGAGUACCCUUUUCUUACAUAGCUGCCAACAAUAGAUUGUAGAUUUAUUUUUUGCCAGUCUGAUAGGCGUAAAGUGUUAUCUCACUAUUUCAACUGGCUCCCCUCUGCCAUCCCAGUAAGUCUGAAGGUCUUUUCUUAUGUUGGGUGACAUUUGGCUUCCUUCUGUGACUUGCCUCUUGGUUUUUCUUUUUCUUUUUCUAUUGGGUUGUUUAUUCCAAUACUCCCUGUCAAUUUGUGCAUGUUCUCUGGAUAUUAAAUUUCAGCCUUACGAGUGGCUCUGUGUUCCAAAUCCCAAUUAAAUAUUGACUUUAUAC